CUGAUAACCGAAGCUGCGGAUGGGCGCGUAAGCGUCCGUGGUAGGGGAGCGUUCUGUAGGUCUGUGAAGGUGUCUCGUAAGGGAUGCUGGAGAUAUCAGAAGUGCGAAUGCUGACAUGAGUAGCGAUAAAGCGGGUGAAAAGCCCGCUCGCCGAAAGCCCAAGGUUUCCUACGCAACGUUCAUCGGCGUAGGGUGAGUCGGCCCCUAAGGCGAGGCUGAAAAGCGUAGUCGAUGGGAAACGGGUUAAAAUUCCCGUACUUUUAUGCAGUGCGAUGUGGGGACGGAGAAGGUUAGGUCAGCGGCCUGUUGGAAUAGGUCGUUCAAGCUGGUAGGUGGUUAGAGUAGGCAAAUCCGCUCUUUCAUUCAACACCGAGAAGUGAUAACGAGGGUCUACGGACCUGAAGUGACUGAUACCACGCUUCCAGGAAAAGCCACUAAGCUUCAGCUGCAUAAGAACCGUACCGCAAACCGACACAGGUGGGCAGGAUGAGAAUUCUAAGGCGCUUGAGAGAACUCAGGAGAAGGAACUCGGCAAAUUGAUA
RNAcentral lists this ribosomal RNA (542 nucleotides) under Chromobacterium sp. 29. RNAcentral's name for it is "bacterial LSU rRNA". It matches the Rfam family "Bacterial large subunit ribosomal RNA", at positions 1187 to 1727 of the family's 2925-position model. The record is from RNAcentral. Lineage: Bacteria; Pseudomonadati; Pseudomonadota; Betaproteobacteria; Neisseriales; Chromobacteriaceae.